AGAUAUCGGGAGGAACACCAGUGGCGAAGGCGACCUCCUGGGCUGUUCCUGACGCUGAAUGCGAAAGCUAGGGUAGCAAACGGGAUUAGAAACCCCGGUAGUCCUAGCUGUAAACGAUGGAUGUUGGGUGUAGGAGGGUAAAAUCCUUCUGUGCCGAAGCUAACGCGUUAAACAUCCCGCCUGGGGAGUACGGCCGCAAGGUUAAAACUCAAACGAAUUGACGGGUCACCGCACAAGCAGCGGAGCGUGUGGUUUAAUUCGAUGCUACACGAAGAACCUUACCUGGGCUUGACAUGUAGGUAGUAGUGAAGCGAAAGCGGAACGACCCUUCGGGGAGCUUACACAGGUGCUGCAUGGCUGUCGUCAGCUCGUGCCGUGAGGUGUCGGGUUAAGUCCCGUAACGAGCGCAACCCCUGUCCUUAGUUAUACGUGUCUAAGGAGACUGCCCGGGACAACUGGGAGGAAGGUGGGGAUGACGUCAAGUCAGCAUGGCCUUUAUGUCCAGGGCGACACACAUGCUACAAUGGCCGGUACAAUGGGUCGCUAAACCGCAAGGUGGAGCCAAUCCUCUAAAGCCGGUCUAAGUUCGAAUUGUGGCCUGCAACUCGCCCACAUGAAGCUGGAGUUGCUAGUAACACGCAGGUCAGCCAUACCUGCGGUGAUACGUUCCCGGGGAUUGUACACACCGCCCGUCACGUCAUGG
This 703-nucleotide ribosomal RNA is filed under the name uncultured organism. RNAcentral's name for it is "bacterial SSU rRNA". It matches the Rfam family "Bacterial small subunit ribosomal RNA", at positions 692 to 1407 of the family's 1533-position model. The record is from RNAcentral.